This 75-nucleotide transfer RNA is filed under the name Candidatus Nealsonbacteria bacterium CG_4_10_14_0_2_um_filter_35_20. RNAcentral describes it as "tRNA-Cys". It matches the Rfam family "tRNA". Rfam says of the family: Transfer RNA (tRNA) molecules are approximately 80 nucleotides in length. Their secondary structure includes four short double-helical elements and three loops (D, anti-codon, and T loops). RNAcentral also lists the same sequence under 1 other name. The record is from RNAcentral. Lineage: Bacteria; Candidatus Nealsoniibacteriota.
GGCCAGGUAGCCAAGUAGCAAGGCAGCGCUCUGCAAAAGCGCUAUACAGGGGUGCAAGUCCCCUCCUGGUCUCAA